This 543-nucleotide ribosomal RNA is filed under the name uncultured bacterium. RNAcentral describes it as "bacterial SSU rRNA". It matches the Rfam family "Bacterial small subunit ribosomal RNA", at positions 47 to 579 of the family's 1533-position model. The record is from RNAcentral.
CCUAACACAUGCAAGUCGAACGGUAACAGGAAGAAGCUUGCUUCUUUGCUGACGAGUGGCGGACGGGUGAGUGAUGUCUGGGAAACUGCCUGAUGGAGGGGGAUAACUACUGGAAACGGUAGCUAAUACCGCAUAACGUCGCAAGACCAAAGAGGGGGACCUUCGGGCCUCUUGCCAUCGGAUGUGCCCAGAUGGGAUUAGCUAGUAGGUGGGGUAACGGCUCACCUAGGCGACGAUCCCUAGCUGGUCUGAGAGGAUGACCAGCCACACUGGAACUGAGACACGGUCCAGACUCCUACGGGAGGCAGCAGUGGGGAAUAUUGCACAAUGGGCGCAAGCCUGAUGCAGCCAUGCCGCGUGUAUGAAGAAGGCCUUCGGGUUGUAAAGUACUUUCAGCGGGGAGGAAGGGAGUAAAGUUAAUACCUUUGCUCAUUGACGUUACCCGCAGAAGAAGCACCGGCUAACUCCGUGCCAGCAGCCGCGGUAAUACGGAGGGUGCAAGCGUUAAUCGGAAUUACUGGGCGUAAAGCGCACGCAGGCGGU